This is a non-coding RNA of Stegodyphus mimosarum, 45 nucleotides long. NCBI's taxonomy places the organism in Eukaryota, Metazoa, Arthropoda, Arachnida, Araneae, Eresidae. The record is from Rfam.
CAAAAGGCCCUUUUCAGGGCCAUACAAUUUCAGGUAUAGUUCUAU